AAAGCGUAAUAGCUCACUGGUCGAGUCGGCCUGCGCGGAAGAUGUAACGGGGCUAAACCAUGCACCGAAGCUGCGGCAGCGACGCUUAUGCGUUGUUGGGUAGGGGAGCGUUCUGUAAGCCUGUGAAGGUGGCCUGUGAGGGUUGCUGGAGGUAUCAGAAGUGCGAAUGCUGACAUAAGUAACGAUAAAGCGGGUGAAAAGCCCGCUCGCCGGAAGACCAAGGGUUCCUGUCCAACGUUAAUCGGGGCAGGGUGAGUCGACCCCUAAGGCGAGGCCGAAAGGCGUAGUCGAUGGGAAACGGGUUAAUAUUCCCGUACUUGGUGUUACUGCGAAGGGGGGACGGAGAAGGCUAUGUUGGCCGGGCGACGGUUGUCCCGGUUUAAGCGUGUAGGUGUGUGUUCCAGGUAAAUCCGGUUCACUUUAACACUGAGGCGUGAUGACGAGGCACUACGGUGCUGAAGCAACAAAUGCCCUGCUUCCAGGAAAAGCCUCUAAGCAUCAGGUAACAUCAAAUCGUACCCCAAACCGACACAGGUGGUCAGGUAGAGAAUACCAAGGCGCUUGAGAGAACUCGGGUGAAGGAACUAGGCAAAAUGGUGCCGUAACUUCGGGAGAAGGCACGCUGAUAUGUAGGUGAAGCGGUUUACCCGUGGAGCUGAAAUCAGUCGAAGAUACCAGCUGGCUGCAACUGUUUAUUAAAAACACAGCACUGUGCAAACACGAAAGUGGACGUAUACGGUGUGACGCCUGCCCGGUGCCNGGAGCUGAAGUCAGUCGAAGAUACCAGCUGGCUGCAACUGUUUAUUAAAAACACAGCACUGUGCAAACACGAAAGUGGACGUAUACGGUGUGACGCCUGCCCGGUGCCGGAAGGUUAAUUGAUGGGGUCAGCGCAAGCGAAGCUCCUGAUCGAAGCCCCGGUAAACGGCGGCCGUAACUAUAACGGUCCUAAGGUAGCGAAAUUCCUUGUCGGGUAAGUUCCGACCUGCACGAAUGGCGUAAUGAUGGCCAGGCUGUCUCCACCCGAGACUCAGUGAAAUUGAACUCGCUGUGAAGAUGCAGUGUACCCGCGGCAAGACGGAAAGACCCCGUGAACCUUUACUAUAGCUUGACACUGAACAUUGAGCCUUGAUGUGUAGGAUAGGUGGGAGGCUUUGAAGCGUGGACGCCAGUCUGCGUGGAGCCGACCUUGAAAUACCACCCUUUAAUGUUUGAUGUUCUAACGUGGACCCGU
Molecule: ribosomal RNA, 1234 nt
Filed under: Salmonella enterica subsp. enterica serovar Weltevreden
Lineage: Bacteria; Pseudomonadati; Pseudomonadota; Gammaproteobacteria; Enterobacterales; Enterobacteriaceae
Description: bacterial LSU rRNA
Rfam family: Bacterial large subunit ribosomal RNA
Source: RNAcentral